Molecule: ribosomal RNA, 764 nt
Filed under: Schumannella luteola
Lineage: Bacteria; Bacillati; Actinomycetota; Actinomycetes; Micrococcales; Microbacteriaceae
Description: bacterial SSU rRNA
Rfam family: Bacterial small subunit ribosomal RNA
Source: RNAcentral
GAACGCUGGCGGCGUGCUUAACACAUGCAAGUCGAACGGUGAAGCAGGAGCUUGCUCUUGCGGAUCAGUGGCGAACGGGUGAGUAACACGUGAGUAACCUGCCCUUGACUCUGGGAUAAGCGUUGGAAACGACGUCUAAUACCGGAUACGAGCUUCAGCCGCAUGGCUAGGAGUUGGAAAGAAUUUUGGUCAAGGAUGGACUCGCGGCCUAUCAGGUUGUUGGUGAGGUAAUGGCUCACCAAGCCUACGACGGGUAGCCGGCCUGAGAGGGUGACCGGCCACACUGGGACUGAGACACGGCCCAGACUCCUACGGGAGGCAGCAGUGGGGAAUAUUGCACAAUGGGCGAAAGCCUGAUGCAGCAACGCCGCGUGAGGGACGACGGCCUUCGGGUUGUAAACCUCUUUUAGCAGGGAAGAAGCGAAAGUGACGGUACCUGCAGAAAAAGCACCGGCUAACUACGUGCCAGCAGCCGCGGUAAUACGUAGGGUGCAAGCGUUAUCCGGAAUUAUUGGGCGUAAAGAGCUCGUAGGCGGUUGGUCGCGUCUGCUGUGAAAUCCCGAGGCUCAACCUCGGGUCUGCAGUGGGUACGGGCCAGCUAGAGUGCGGUAGGGGAGAAUGGAAUUCCUGGUGUAGCGGUGGAAUGCGCAGAUAUCAGGAGGAACACCGAUGGCGAAGGCAGUUCUCUGGGCCGUUACUGACGCUGAGGAGCGAAAGCGUGGGGAGCGAACAGGAUUAGAUACCCUGGUAGUCCACGCCGUAAA